Molecule: ribosomal RNA, 253 nt
Filed under: uncultured bacterium
Lineage: Bacteria
Description: partial 16S ribosomal RNA
Rfam family: Bacterial small subunit ribosomal RNA
Source: RNAcentral
UACAGAGGGGGCAAGCGUUGUUCGGAAUUACUGGGCGUAAAGGGCGCGUAGGCGGCCUGCUAAGUCGAACGGGAAAUCCCUGGGCUCAACCCAGGAACUGCGUCCGAUACUGGUUGGCUUGAAUCCGGGAGAGGGAUGUGGAAUUCCAGGUGUAGCGGUGAAAUGCGUAGAUAUCUGGAGGAACACCGGUGGCGAAGGCGGCAUCCUGGACCAACACUGACGCUGAGGAGCGAAAGCCAGGGGAGCAAACGGG